Molecule: unclassified non-coding RNA, 355 nt
Filed under: soil metagenome
Description: partial contains 5.8S ribosomal RNA, internal transcribed spacer 2, and large subunit ribosomal RNA
Rfam family: 5.8S ribosomal RNA (bases 1-120)
Source: RNAcentral
GAUGAAGAACGUAGCGAAAUGCGAUAAGUAAUGUGAAUUGCAGAAUUCAGUGAAUCAUCGAAUCUUUGAACGCACAUUGCGCCCGCCAGUAUUCUGGCGGGCAUGCCUGUCCGAGCGUCAUUUCAACCCUCGAACCCCUCCGGGGGGUCGGCGUUGGGGAUCGGCCCUGCCUCUUGGCGGUGGCCGUCUCCGAAAUACAGUGGCGGUCUCGCCGCAGCCUCUCCUACGCAGUAGUUUGCACACUCGCAUCGGGAGCGCGGCGCGUCCACAGCCGUUAAACACCCAACUUCUGAAAUGUUGACCUCGGAUCAGGUAGGAAUACCCGCUGAACUUAAGCAUAUCAAUAAGCGGAGGA